RNAcentral lists this ribosomal RNA (445 nucleotides) under uncultured bacterium. Its description in RNAcentral is "bacterial SSU rRNA". It matches the Rfam family "Bacterial small subunit ribosomal RNA", at positions 354 to 796 of the family's 1533-position model. The record is from RNAcentral.
GUAAGGAAUAUUGGGCAAUGGAGGCAACUCUGACCCAGCCAUCCCGCGUGAAGGAUUAAGGCCCUAUGGGUUGUAAACUUCUUUUGUUUGGGAAGAAAUCAGGACAUUCAUGUGCUGUUGACGGUACCUUACGAAUAAGCACCGGCUAACUCCGUGCCAGCAGCCGCGGUAAUACGGAGGGUGCAAGCGUUAUCCGGAAUCACUGGGUUUAAAGGGUGCGUAGGCGGUUUGAUAAGUCAGAGGUGAAAGCUAGCAGCUUAACUGUUAAAUUGCCUUUGAUACUGUCAGACUUGAAUCAAGUUGAGGUAGGCGGAAUGUGACAUGUAGCGGUGAAAUGCAUAGAUAUGUCAUAGAACACCAAUUGCGUAGGCAGCUUGCUGGGCUUGAAUUGACGCUGAGGCACGAAAGCGUGGGGAUCAAACAGGAUUAGAAACCCGAGUAGUCC